UACAGAGGGGGCAAGCGUUAUUCGGAAUUACUGGGCGUAAAGGGCGCGUAGGCGGCCUGUUAAGUCGAACGUGAAAUCCCCGGGCUCAACCCGGGAACUGCGUCCGAUACUGGCAGGCUUGAAUUCGGGAGAGGGAUGCGGAAUUCCAGGUGUAGCGGUGAAAUGCGUAGAUAUCUGGAGGAACACCGGUGGCGAAGGCGGCAUCCUGGACCGAGAUUGACGCUGAUGCGCGAAAGCCAGGGGAGCAAACGGG
This 253-nucleotide ribosomal RNA is filed under the name uncultured bacterium. RNAcentral's name for it is "partial 16S ribosomal RNA". It matches the Rfam family "Bacterial small subunit ribosomal RNA", at positions 524 to 776 of the family's 1533-position model. The record is from RNAcentral.